RNAcentral lists this ribosomal RNA (445 nucleotides) under uncultured bacterium. RNAcentral describes it as "bacterial SSU rRNA". It matches the Rfam family "Bacterial small subunit ribosomal RNA", at positions 330 to 792 of the family's 1533-position model. The record is from RNAcentral.
UCCAGACUCCUACGGGAGGCAGCAGUAGGGAAUUUUGCGCAAUGGGGGAAACCCUGACGCAGCAACACCGCGUGAAUGUUAAGCCCUUCGGGGUGUAAAGUUCUGUCAAUAGGGACGAAUUUUGACUGUACCUAUAAAGGAAGCACCGGCUAACUCCGUGCCAGCAGCCGCGGUAAUACGGGGGGUGCAAGCGUUGUCCGGAAUCAUUGGGCGUAAAGCGUUCGUAGGCGGUAAAGUAAGUCAGAUGUUAAAGCCCGGGGCUCAACUCCGGUUCGGCAUUUGAUACUACUUGACUAGAAUGCGGUAGAGGUAAAGGGAAUUCCUGGUGUAGCGGUGAAAUGCGUAGAUAUCAGGAGGAACAUCGGUGGCGAAAGCGCUUUACUGGGCCGUUAUUGACGCUGAGGAACGAAAGCCAGGGUAGCAAACGGGAUUAGAUACCCCAGUA